Molecule: transfer RNA, 74 nt
Filed under: Rhizoctonia solani AG-1 IB
Lineage: Eukaryota; Fungi; Basidiomycota; Agaricomycetes; Cantharellales; Ceratobasidiaceae
Description: tRNA-Pro
Rfam family: tRNA
About the family: Transfer RNA (tRNA) molecules are approximately 80 nucleotides in length. Their secondary structure includes four short double-helical elements and three loops (D, anti-codon, and T loops). Further hydrogen bonds mediate the characteristic L-shaped molecular structure. tRNAs have two regions of fundamental functional importance: the anti-codon, which is responsible for specific mRNA codon recognition, and the 3' end, to which the tRNAs corresponding amino acid is attached (by aminoacyl-tRNA synthetases). tRNAs cope with the degeneracy of the genetic code in two manners: having more than one tRNA (with a specific anti-codon) for a particular amino acid; and 'wobble' base-pairing, i.e. permitting non-standard base-pairing at the 3rd anti-codon position.
Source: RNAcentral
GGCCGCUUGGUCUAGUAGUAUGAUUCCUGUUUUGGGAAUACAGGAGGUCGCGAGUUCAAUUCUCGCAGCGGCCC